This 317-nucleotide ribosomal RNA is filed under the name uncultured eukaryote. RNAcentral describes it as "partial 18S ribosomal RNA". It matches the Rfam family "Eukaryotic small subunit ribosomal RNA", at positions 1470 to 1796 of the family's 1831-position model. The record is from RNAcentral.
CCCUUAGAUGUUCUGGGCCGCACGCGCGCUACACUGAUCAGUGCAACAAGCAUCCGUCCUUGGCCGACAGGCCCGGGCAAUCUUUGAACGCUGAUCGUGAUGGGGAUAGACUUUUGCAAUUUUUGGUCUUCAACGAGGAAUUCCUAGUAAACGCAAGUCAUCAACUUGCAUUGAUUACGUCCCUGCCCUUUGUACACACCGCCCGUCGCACCUACCGAUUGAAUGGUCCGGUGAAGCCUCCGGAUUGGCGUGCACCCUCGGGUGCUGCCGAGAAGUUGGCUAAACCUUACCAUUUAGAGGGAGGUGAAGUCGUAACA